GCGGAGAUGCCGGAGUGGUCAAACGGGACAGGCUUAGGACCUGUUAGCUUAGUGCUUACCUAGGUUCGAAUCCUAGUCUCCGCA
This 84-nucleotide transfer RNA is filed under the name Nanobdellota archaeon. RNAcentral describes it as "tRNA-Leu". It matches the Rfam family "tRNA". Rfam says of the family: Transfer RNA (tRNA) molecules are approximately 80 nucleotides in length. Their secondary structure includes four short double-helical elements and three loops (D, anti-codon, and T loops). Lineage: Archaea; Nanobdellati; Nanobdellota. The record is from RNAcentral. RNAcentral also lists the same sequence under 1 other name.